UAAACGUCUCAGUUCGGACUGUGGUCUGCAACCCGACCACACGAAGCUGGAAUCGCUAGUAAUCGUGAAUCAGAAUGUCACGGUGAAUACGUUCCCGGGUCUUGUACACACCGCCCGUCACACCAUGGGAGUCAGCAACGCCCGAAGUCAGUGACCUAACCGAGAGGGAGGAGCUGCCGAAGGCGGGGCCGGUAACUGGGGUGAAGUCGUAACAAGGUACC
This 221-nucleotide ribosomal RNA is filed under the name uncultured bacterium. RNAcentral describes it as "partial 16S ribosomal RNA". It matches the Rfam family "Bacterial small subunit ribosomal RNA", at positions 1277 to 1500 of the family's 1533-position model. The record is from RNAcentral.